This 899-nucleotide ribosomal RNA is filed under the name Colletotrichum fioriniae. RNAcentral describes it as "LSU rRNA". It matches the Rfam family "Eukaryotic large subunit ribosomal RNA", at positions 38 to 968 of the family's 3401-position model. Lineage: Eukaryota; Fungi; Ascomycota; Sordariomycetes; Glomerellales; Glomerellaceae. The record is from RNAcentral.
GCAUAUCAAUAAGCGGAGGAAAAGAAACCAACAGGGAUUGCCCCAGUAACGGCGAGUGAAGCGGCAACAGCUCAAAUUUGAAAUCUGGCCCCAGGCCCGAGUUGUAAUUUGCAGAGGAUGCUUUUGGCGCGGUGCCUUCCGAGUUCCCUGGAACGGGACGCCAUAGAGGGUGAGAGCCCCGUACGGUUGGACACCAAGCCUUUGUAAAGCUCCUUCGACGAGUCGAGUAGUUUGGGAAUGCUGCUCUAAAUGGGAGGUACAUUUCUUCUAAAGCUAAAUAUUGGCCAGAGACCGAUAGCGCACAAGUAGAGUGAUCGAAAGAUGAAAAGCACUUUGAAAAGAGGGUUAAACAGCACGUGAAAUUGUUAAAAGGGAAGCGCUUGUGACCAGACUUGCGUCCGGUGAAUCACCCAGCUCUCGCGGCUGGGGCACUUCGCCGGCACAGGCCAGCAUCAGCUUGCCGUCGGGGACAAAAGCUUCAGGAACGUGGCUCCUCUCGGGGAGUGUUAUAGCCUGUUGUAUAAUACCCUUCGGCGGGCUGAGGUACGCGCUCCGCAAGGAUGCUGGCGUAAUGGUCAUCAGCGACCCGUCUUGAAACACGGACCAAGGAGUCAACCUUAUGUGCGAGUGUUUGGGUGUUAAACCCCUACGCGUAAUGAAAGUGAACGCAGGUGAGAGCUUCGGCGCAUCAUCGACCGAUCCUGAUGUUCUCGGAUGGAUUUGAGUAAGAGCAUAUAGGGUUGGACCCGAAAGAAGGUGAACUAUGCGUGUGUAGGGUGAAGCCAGAGGAAACUCUGGUGGAGGCUCGCAGCGGUUCUGACGUGCAAAUCGAUCGUCAAACAUGCGCAUGGGGGCGAAAGACUAAUCGAACCUUCUAGUAGCUGGUUUCCGCCGAAGUU